GCUGGCGGCAUGCUCACACAUGCAAGAAAAACGAUGCCUUCGGGCAUAGUGGCGCACGGGUGCGUAACGCUUGCCGAUCUGCCCUUUGCUUCGGAAUAACAGUUAGAAAUGACUGCUAAUACCGGAUGAUGUCGCAAGACCAAAGAUUUAUCGGCAAAGGAUGAACCCGCGUAGGAUUAGCUAGUUGGUGGGGUAAAGGCCUACCAAGGCGACGAUCCUUAGCUGGUCUGAGAGGAUGAUCAGCCACACUGGGACUGAGACACGGCCCAGACUCCUACGGGAGGCAGCAGUGGG
RNAcentral lists this ribosomal RNA (294 nucleotides) under uncultured bacterium. Its description in RNAcentral is "partial 16S ribosomal RNA". It matches the Rfam family "Bacterial small subunit ribosomal RNA", at positions 35 to 358 of the family's 1533-position model. The record is from RNAcentral.